AGUGAACGCUGGCGGUAGGCCUAACACAUGCAAGUCGAACGGCAGCACAGUAAGAGCUUGCUCUUACGGGUGGCGAGUGGCGGACGGGUGAGGAAUACAUCGGAAUCUACUUUUUCGUGGGGGAUAACGUAGGGAAACUUACGCUAAUACCGCAUACGACCUACGGGUGAAAGCAGGGGAUCUUCGGACUUUGCGCGAUUGAAUGAGCCGAUGUCGGAUUAGCUAGUUGGCGGGGUAAAGGCCCACCAAGGCGACGAACCGUAGCCGGUCUGAGAGGAUGAUCAGCCACACUGGAACUGAGACACGGUCCAGACUCCUACGGGAGGCAGCAGUGGGGAAUAUUGGACAAAGGGCGCAAGCCUGAUCCAGCCAUACCGCGUGGGUGAAGAAGGCCUUCGGGUUGUAAAGCCCUUUUGUUGGGAAAGAAAAGCAGCAGGUUAAUACCCCGCUGUUCUGACGGUACCCAAAGAAUAAGCACCGGCUAACUUCGUG
Molecule: ribosomal RNA, 492 nt
Filed under: uncultured bacterium
Lineage: Bacteria
Description: partial 16S ribosomal RNA
Rfam family: Bacterial small subunit ribosomal RNA
Source: RNAcentral